CUGAUCUAGCCAUGCCGCGUGAGUGAUGAAGGCCUUAGGGUCGUAAAGCUCUUUCGCCUGUGAUGAUAAUGACAGUAGCAGGUAAAGAAACCCCAGCUAACUCCGUGCCAGCAGCCGCGGUAAUACGGAGGGGGUUAGCGUUGUUCGGAAUUACUGGGCGUAAAGCGCGCGUAGGCGGAUUAGAAAGUUGGGGGUGAAAUCCCGGGGCUCAACCUCGGAACUGCCUCCAAAACUGCUAGUCUAGAGUUCGAGAGAGGUGAGUGGAAUUCCGAGUGUAGAGGUGAAAUUCGUAGAUAUUCGGAGGAACACCAGUGGCGAAGGCGGCUCACUGGCUCGAUACUGACGCUGAGGUGCGAAAGUGUGGGGAGCAAACAGGAUUAGAUACCCUGGUAGUCCACACCGUAAACGAUGAAUGCCAGUCGUCGGGUAGUAUACUAUUCGGUGACACACCUAACGGAUUAAGCAUUCCGCCUGGGGAGUACGGUCGCAAGAUUAAAACUCAAAUGAAUUGACGGGG
Molecule: ribosomal RNA, 517 nt
Filed under: uncultured bacterium
Lineage: Bacteria
Description: bacterial SSU rRNA
Rfam family: Bacterial small subunit ribosomal RNA
Source: RNAcentral